AUUGGAAACGAUGAUUAAAACCUCAUAAUGCUGUUUCAACACAUGUUGAGACAGCCAAAGAUUUAUCGGCUAGGGAUGGGCCUGCGUCUGAUUAACUGGUUGGUGAGGUAACGGCCCACCAAGGUGACGAUCAGUAGCCGACCUGAGAGGGUGAUCGGCCACAUUGGAACUGAGACACGGUCCAAACUUCUACGGAAGGCAGCAGUAAGGAAUCUUGCACAAAGGGGGAAACCCUGAUGCAGCAACGCCGCGUGA
Molecule: ribosomal RNA, 255 nt
Filed under: uncultured bacterium
Lineage: Bacteria
Description: partial 16S ribosomal RNA
Rfam family: Bacterial small subunit ribosomal RNA
Source: RNAcentral